Molecule: transfer RNA, 76 nt
Filed under: Actinomycetes bacterium
Lineage: Bacteria; Bacillati; Actinomycetota; Actinomycetes
Also listed under: 4 other names
Description: Actinobacteria bacterium (soil metagenome) tRNA-Arg
Rfam family: tRNA
About the family: Transfer RNA (tRNA) molecules are approximately 80 nucleotides in length. Their secondary structure includes four short double-helical elements and three loops (D, anti-codon, and T loops). Further hydrogen bonds mediate the characteristic L-shaped molecular structure. tRNAs have two regions of fundamental functional importance: the anti-codon, which is responsible for specific mRNA codon recognition, and the 3' end, to which the tRNAs corresponding amino acid is attached (by aminoacyl-tRNA synthetases). tRNAs cope with the degeneracy of the genetic code in two manners: having more than one tRNA (with a specific anti-codon) for a particular amino acid; and 'wobble' base-pairing, i.e. permitting non-standard base-pairing at the 3rd anti-codon position.
Source: RNAcentral
GCCCCCGUAGCUCAGGGGAUAGAGCGUCGGUUUCCUAAACCGUGCGUCGCAGGUUCGAAUCCUGCCGGGGGCGCCA